CAGUCGCCGCGGUAAUACGAAGGGUGCAAGCGUUAAUCGGAAUUACUGGGCGUAAAGCGCACGUAGGCGGAUCGAUCAGUCAGGGGUGAAAUCCCAGAGCUCAACUCUGGAACUGCCUUUGAUACUGUCGAUCUGGAGUAUGGAAGAGGUGAGUGGAAUUCCGAGUGUAGAGGUGAAAUUCGUAGAUAUUCGGAGGAACACCAGUGGCGAAGGCGGCUCACUGGUCCAUUACUGACGCUGGGGUGCGAAAGCGUGGGGAGCAAACAGGAUUAGAUACCCCCGUAGUCCCUGUCUCUUAUAC
This 301-nucleotide ribosomal RNA is filed under the name uncultured bacterium. RNAcentral's name for it is "partial 16S ribosomal RNA". It matches the Rfam family "Bacterial small subunit ribosomal RNA", at positions 509 to 807 of the family's 1533-position model. The record is from RNAcentral.